GUGGGGAAAUGACGCUGGCGGCGNGCUUACACAUGCCAGCGAUUUACACGAGGUUGCUUCGGUAACUGAGGCUAUUUAACGGACGGGUGAGUAAUGCUUAGGAAUCUGCCUAUUAGUGGGGGACAACAUUCCGAAAGGAAUGCUAAUACCGCAUACGCCCUACGGGGGAAAGCAGGGGAUCAUUCGGACCUUGCGCUAAUAGAUGAGCCUAAGUCAGAUUAGCUAGUUGGUGGGGUAAAGGCCUACCAAGGCGACGAUCUAGCGGGUCUGAGAGGAUGAUCCGCCACACUGGGACUGAGACACGGCCCAGACUCCUACGGGAGGCAGCAGUGGGGAAUAUUGGACAAUGGGCGGAAGCCUGAUCCAGCCAUGCCGCGUGUGUUGUGAAGAAGGCCUUUUGGUUGUAAAGCACUUUAAGCGAGGAGGAGGCUACUGGUAUUAAUACUACCGGAUAGUGGACGUUACUCGCAGAAUAAGCACCGGCUAACUCUGUGCCAGCAGCCGCGGUAAUACAGAGGGUGCGAGCGUUAAUCGGAUUUACUGGGCGUAAAGCGUGCGUAGGCGGCUUUUUAAGUCGGAUGUGAAAUCCCUGAGCUUAACUUAGGAAUUGCAUUCGAUACUGGGAAGCUAGAGUAUGGGAGAGGAUGGUAGAAUUCCAGGUG
Molecule: ribosomal RNA, 662 nt
Filed under: Alcaligenes faecalis
Lineage: Bacteria; Pseudomonadati; Pseudomonadota; Betaproteobacteria; Burkholderiales; Alcaligenaceae
Description: bacterial SSU rRNA
Rfam family: Bacterial small subunit ribosomal RNA
Source: RNAcentral